This 709-nucleotide ribosomal RNA is filed under the name Pseudocoris yamashiroi (redspot wrasse). RNAcentral's name for it is "partial 12S ribosomal RNA". The stretch from base 1 to 475 matches the Rfam family "Bacterial small subunit ribosomal RNA", at positions 866 to 1533 of the family's 1533-position model. The record is from RNAcentral. Lineage: Eukaryota; Metazoa; Chordata; Actinopteri; Labriformes; Labridae.
UAUCCGCCCGGGUACUACGAGCAUUAGCUUAAAACCCAAAGGACUUGGCGGUGCUUCAGAUCCACCUAGAGGAGCCUGUUCUAGAACCGAUAAUCCCCGUUAAACCUCACCUUUCCUUGUAUAAUCCGCCUAUAUACCGCCGUCGUCAGCUUACUCUGUGAAGAGCUAGUAGUAUGCACAAUUGGCUUAGCCCUAAACGCCAGGUCGAGGUGUAGCGUAUGGAGAGGGAAGAAAUGGGCUACAUUCAAUAGCUAUAAUGAAUACGAAUGAUAUUAUGAAAAAAUAUCUGAAGGAGGAUUUAGCAGUAAGCAGAGAAUAGAGUGCCCUGCUGAAGCCGGCCCUGAAGCGCGUACACACCGCCCGUCACUCUCCCCGAAUAGCGAGUCAACACAUCACUAAUCAGCCAAAGCCAAAGAGGGGAGGCAAGUCGUAACAUGGUAAGCGUACCGGAAGGUGCGCUUGGAAAAACUCAGAGCAUAGCUAAAUUACGUAUAGCAUCUCCCUUACACUGAGAAGACAUCCGUGCAACCCGGAUUGCCCUGAAGCCCAAUAGCUAGCCCAACCCACUAAAAAUAACAGACCACUAUUAAAUAAACCCCAACGCACCAAACAAUGCAAAACAAACCAUUUUCCCCUCUUAGUAUGGGAGACAGAAAAGAGACUCGGCGCAAUAAAGAAAGUACCGCAAGGGAAAGCUGAAAGAGAAAUG